This 484-nucleotide ribosomal RNA is filed under the name uncultured bacterium. Its description in RNAcentral is "partial 16S ribosomal RNA". It matches the Rfam family "Bacterial small subunit ribosomal RNA", at positions 29 to 507 of the family's 1533-position model. The record is from RNAcentral.
AGUGAACGCUGGCGGCAGGCCUAACACAUGCAAGUCGAGCGGAAGAACGGAGCUUGCUUCCGGAUACGGCGGCGGAGUGGCGGGUAAUGCCGAGGAACCUCCCUAUCUAUUUUUUAGAAGGGGCGAAAGCGGGGGCAAAUACCCCAUUAGUCCUUAGGAACAAAGUGUGAAAGCUUGGGAUCUUAGGCUAUCGGAUGAUCGUAGGUGGGAUUAGCUAGUUGGUGGGGUAAAGGCCUACCAAGGCGACGAUCCGUAACUGGUCUGAGAGGAUGAUCAGUCACACUGGAACUGAGACACGGUCCAGACUCCUACGGGAGGCAGCAGUGGGGAAUAUUGGACAAAGGGCGCAAGCCUGAUCCAGCCAUGCCGCGUGUGUGAAGAAGGUCUUCGGAUUGUAAAGCCCUUUAAGUUGGGAAGAAAAGCAGUAAGUUAAUACCUUGCUGUUUUGACGUUACCCAAAGAAUAAGCACCGGCUAACUUCGUG